Molecule: ribosomal RNA, 446 nt
Filed under: Diogenes avarus
Lineage: Eukaryota; Metazoa; Arthropoda; Malacostraca; Decapoda; Diogenidae
Description: partial large subunit ribosomal RNA
Source: RNAcentral
UGUAAAAUAAAUUUAAUUUAUACCAAAGAUAGAUAUGAUUUUUGGGGAUAGAGGGCCAGGGUAGAGCUUGGCUCUCUAAAAGGGAUGCUCUACGGAGUUGCUAGUUUUAAGUAAAUUUAGAUAGGCUUUAAUAGUAGCCACCCUGUUAAAGUGUUUCAACUAAGAUUCAAUUAGAUAUUAUUUAUUUAAUUCCUAGAGAUGAGUACCGAAAAAUUCUUUAUAGCUUUUUAGAACAAGCUCUUAUGAAAUUAUUAGUAAAAAUUUUUAUUAUAUAGAUCUAUAUCUCUUUAUUACAAGAUUUACAUAAAUCUAAAUUUAUUUAAGGAACUCGGCAAAACUAUUCUCGCCUGUUUAACAAAAACAUGUCCAAAUGAAGAAAUAUUUGGUCUAAUCUGCCCGGUGAUUUUUUUAACGGCCGCGGUACUUCUGACUGUGCCAAGGUAGCA